GGACUACUAGGGUAUCUAAUCCUGUUUGCUCCCCACGCUUUCGAGCAUGAGCGUCAGUGUUAUCCCAGGAGGCUGCCUUCGCCAUCGGUGUUCCUCCACAUCUCUACGCAUUUCACUGCUACACGUGGAAUUCUACCUCCCUCUGACACACUCUAGUUCUAGAGUUCCAAACGCAGUUCCCAAGUUGAGCUCGGGGAUUUCACAUCUGGCUUUUAGAACCGCCUGCGCUCGCUUUACGCCCAGUAAUUCCGAUUAACGCUCGCACCCUACGUAUUACCGCGGCUGCUGGCAC
Molecule: ribosomal RNA, 292 nt
Filed under: uncultured bacterium
Lineage: Bacteria
Description: partial 16S ribosomal RNA
Source: RNAcentral